AAGUCGUAACAAGGUCUCCGUUGGUGAACCAGCGGAGGGAUCAUUAUAGAGUUUUCUAAACUCCCAAACCCAUGUGAACUUACCAUUGUUGCCUCGGCAGAGCCUACCCGGUACCUACCCUGGAACCAGCUACCCUGUAGCUACCCAGGAACGGGCUACCCUGUAACGUCCUGCCGGUGGACUUCUAAACUCUUGUUAUUUACAGUAAUCUGAGCGUCUUAUUUUAAUAAGUCAAAACUUUCAACAACGGAUCUCUUGGUUCUG
Molecule: unclassified non-coding RNA, 264 nt
Filed under: Robillarda terrae
Lineage: Eukaryota; Fungi; Ascomycota; Sordariomycetes; Amphisphaeriales; Sporocadaceae
Description: partial internal transcribed spacer region
Rfam family: Eukaryotic small subunit ribosomal RNA (bases 1-46)
Source: RNAcentral